This 584-nucleotide ribosomal RNA is filed under the name uncultured bacterium. RNAcentral's name for it is "partial 16S ribosomal RNA". It matches the Rfam family "Bacterial small subunit ribosomal RNA", at positions 355 to 930 of the family's 1533-position model. The record is from RNAcentral.
UGGGGAAUUUUGGACAAUGGGCGAAAGCCUGAUCCGGCAGUGCCGCGUGUGUGAAGAAGGCCUUCGGGUUGUAAAGCACUUUUGUCCGGAAAGAAAUGGCUCUGGUUAAUACCUGGGGUCGAUGACGGUACCGGAAGAAUAAGGACCGGCUAACUACGUGCCAGCAGCCGCGGUAAUACGUAGGGUCCAAGCGUUAAUCGGAAUUACUGGGCGUAAAGCGUGCGCAGGCGGUUGUGCAAGACCGAUGUGAAAUCCCCGAGCUUAACUUGGGAAUUGCAUUGGUGACUGCACGGCUAGAGUGUGUCAGAGGGGGGUUAGAAUUCCACGUGUAGCAGUGAAAUGCGUAGAGAUGUGGAGGAAUACCGAUGGCGAAGGCAGCCCCCUGGGAUAACACUGACGCUCAUGCACGAAAGCGUGGGGAGCAAACAGGAUUAGAUACCCUGGUAGUCCACGCCCUAAACGAUGUCAACUAGUUGUUGGGGAUUCAUUUCCUUAGUAACGCUAGCUAACGCGUGAAGUUGACCGCCUGGGGAGUACGGUCGCAAGNUUAAAAGCUCAAAUGAUUUGACGGGGGCUGCAUAGCU